This 1017-nucleotide small RNA is filed under the name Pan troglodytes (chimpanzee). Its description in RNAcentral is "retained intron". The record is from RNAcentral. Lineage: Eukaryota; Metazoa; Chordata; Mammalia; Primates; Hominidae.
CGGGGCUCGGGCCGGGCUCCGCGCGGAGUUGCAGCGGUGGCCGGAUGCCAAGUGAUUUUUUAUCAAGCAGAAAUGCAUCGAACAACGAGAAUCAAGAUCACUGAGCUAAAUCCCCACCUGAUGUGUGUGCUUUGUGGAGGGUACUUCAUUGAUGCCACAACCAUAAUAGAAUGUCUACAUUCCUGUAAGUACCGAGCUUUAGCUCUCUUUUGUAUCAUGCGUAUUUCACAGUUCGACCUGGAAUUUGAAAACUAUUAAUGAUUCCUGCAAUCUGUGGAAAUGUUGGUACAAAGUGGUGAAGUCAUUUUCUUCUCUUGCAUCUAAUGACUUUUUGUUAAUAUGUAUUGAUUGUAUUACAAGCAUGCAAUAUAUGUGUUCUCAGGAUAUGAAUUAGCUUAUUUAGUUGGAAAUGCCUUUCACCAUCUUGUUUUCUACUAGUUCUGGGUUUCUAACACCAAUGCUUUAUCCACUCAUUUCUAAACAUAAAAAAAUUCACAUGUUCUACUUCUAGUCUGUAAAACGUGUAUUGUUCGUUACCUGGAGACCAGCAAGUAUUGUCCUAUUUGUGAUGUCCAAGUUCACAAAACCAGACCACUACUGAAUAUAAGGUCAGAUAAAACUCUCCAAGAUAUCGUAUACAAAUUAGUUCCAGGGCUUUUCAAAAAUGAAAUGAAGAGAAGAAGGGAUUUUUAUGCAGCUCAUCCUUCUGCUGAUGCUGCCAAUGGCUCUAAUGAAGAUAGAGGAGAGGUUGCAGAUGAAGAUAAGAGAAUUAUAACUGAUGAUGAGAUAAUAAGCUUAUCCAUUGAAUUCUUUGACCAGAACAGGUAAAAUCUUUAGGCAAUCUAUUUUAUGCUAAUGUUUUAUUAGAUUGUUUCACUAAUAAAUUUUCUCUUUCUUAGAUUGGAUCGGAAAGUAAACAAAGACAAAGAGAAAUCUAAGGAGGAGGUGAAUGAUAAAAGAUACUUACGAUGCCCAGCAGCAAUGACUGUGAUGCACUUAAGAAAGUUUCUCAGAAGU